AGAAUCAACGCUGGCGGCGUGCCUAACACAUGCAAGUCGAACGAGAAAGGGUAGCAAUACCUGAGUAAAGUGGCGCACGGGUGAGUAACACGUGACUAACCUACCUUUUAGUGGGGGGAUAACCUAGGGAAACCUGGGCUAAUACCGCAUAAUACCUACGGGUCAAAGCAGCAAUGCGCUGAAUGAGGGGGUCGCGGUCGAUUAGUUAGUUGGCAGGGUAAUGGCCUACCAAGACUGUGAUCGAUAUCCGGCCUGAGAGGGCGCACGGACACACUGGAACUGAAACACGGUCCAGACUCCUACGGGAGGCAGCAGUGGGGAAUUUUGCGCAAUGGGGGAAACCCUGACGCAGCAACGCCGCGUGGAGGAUGAAGUCCCUUGGGACGUAAACUCCUUUCGAUCGGGACGAUAUGACGGUACCGGAAGAAGAAGCCCCGGCUAACUUCGCGCCAGCACGCCGC
This 461-nucleotide ribosomal RNA is filed under the name uncultured bacterium. RNAcentral describes it as "SSU rRNA". It matches the Rfam family "Bacterial small subunit ribosomal RNA", at positions 26 to 518 of the family's 1533-position model. The record is from RNAcentral.